GGACCUUUAGCUCAGUUGGCUAGAGCAGACGGCUCAUAACCGUCGGGUCGUAGGUUCGAGUCCUACAAGGUCCA
RNAcentral lists this transfer RNA (74 nucleotides) under Lactobacillus paragasseri. RNAcentral describes it as "tRNA-Met". It matches the Rfam family "tRNA". From Rfam's summary of the family: Transfer RNA (tRNA) molecules are approximately 80 nucleotides in length. Their secondary structure includes four short double-helical elements and three loops (D, anti-codon, and T loops). Lineage: Bacteria; Bacillati; Bacillota; Bacilli; Lactobacillales; Lactobacillaceae. The record is from RNAcentral.